This 478-nucleotide ribosomal RNA is filed under the name uncultured bacterium. Its description in RNAcentral is "bacterial SSU rRNA". It matches the Rfam family "Bacterial small subunit ribosomal RNA", at positions 24 to 518 of the family's 1533-position model. The record is from RNAcentral.
UCAGGACGAACGCUGGCGGCACGCCUAACACAUGCAAGUCGAACGGUGUAUGGAGCUUGCUCUAAUAACAUAGUGGCGGACGGGUGAGUAACACGUGAGCAACCUGGCCUCUGAGAGAGGGAUAGCUUCUGGAAACGGAUGGUAAUACCUCAUAACAUUACAUGACCGCAUGAUCGUGUAAUCAAAGAUUUAUCACUCAGAGAUGGGCUCGCGUCUGAUUAGCUAGUUGGUGAGGUAACGGCUCACCAAGGCGACGAUCAGUAGCCGGACUGAGAGGUUGAACGGCCACAUUGGGACUGAGACACGGCCCAGACUCCUACGGGAGGCAGCAGUGAGGGAUAUUGCACAAUGGAGGAAACUCUGAUGCAGCGAUGCCGCGUGGAGGAAGAAGGUUUUCGGAUUGUAAACUCCUGUUUCGAGGGACGAUAAUGACGGUACCUCGGGAGGAAGCUCCGGCUAACUACGUGCCAGCAGCCGC